Molecule: ribosomal RNA, 213 nt
Filed under: Escherichia coli
Lineage: Bacteria; Pseudomonadati; Pseudomonadota; Gammaproteobacteria; Enterobacterales; Enterobacteriaceae
Description: partial 16S ribosomal RNA
Rfam family: Bacterial small subunit ribosomal RNA
Source: RNAcentral
GGAAUUACUGGGCGUAAAGCGUGCGUAGGUGGUCGUUUAAGUCCGUUGUGAAAGCCCUGGGCUCAACCUGGGAACUGCAGUGGAUACUGGGCGACUAGAGUGUGGUAGAGGGUAGCGGAAUUCCUGGUGUAGCAGUGAAAUGCGUAGAGAUCAGGAGGAACAUCCAUGGCGAAGGCAGCUACCUGGACCAACACUGACACUGAGGCACGAAAG